GACGAACGCUGGCGGCGUGCUUAACACAUGCAAGUCGAACGGAAAGGCCCUGCUUUUGUGGGGUGCUCGAGUGGCGAACGGGUGAGUAACACGUGAGUAACCUGCCCUUGACUUUGGGAUAACUUCAGGAAACUGGGGCUAAUACCGGAUAGGAGCUCCUGCUGCAUGGUGGGGGUUGGAAAGUUUCGGCGGUUGGGGAUGGACUCGCGGCUUAUCAGCUUGUUGGUGGGGUAGUGGCUUACCAAGGCUUUGACGGGUAGCCGGCCUGAGAGGGUGACCGGCGACAAUGGGCCUGAGAUACGGCCCAGACGCCUACGUGAGGCAGCAGGGGGGAAUAUUGCACAAUGGGCGGAAGCCUGAUGCAGCAACGCCGCGUGCGUGAUGACGGCCUUCGGGUUGUAAACCGCUUUCGCCUGUGACGAAGCGUGAGUGACGGUAAUGGAUAAAGAAGCACCGGCUAACUACGUG
This 468-nucleotide ribosomal RNA is filed under the name uncultured bacterium. Its description in RNAcentral is "partial 16S ribosomal RNA". It matches the Rfam family "Bacterial small subunit ribosomal RNA", at positions 28 to 507 of the family's 1533-position model. The record is from RNAcentral.